Molecule: RNA transcript, 2374 nt
Organism: Humulus lupulus (European hop)
Lineage: Eukaryota; Viridiplantae; Streptophyta; Magnoliopsida; Rosales; Cannabaceae
Gene name: probable serine/threonine-protein kinase PBL19
Exons: 6
Source: RefSeq, a predicted model, not a curated record
UUGUUAAACUACUUACAUGUCGUCUAUGAGAGGGAAGAAGAGAAAGAGAUACGUACUUCUGGAAGAAUAGUCAUGUCUCUCUCUGUCAACUUUAGCCAACGAAGAUGUAGAUCGAUUUGGACGAUUCUAUUCAACUGUUGAAUUUCUCUAAAGCCAAAAUCUGAGACCGAGACACACACGGACUAGUCCUUAUUGAGUUAAUACGCUCGUAUCUGCCUAACGACUCUUCAUUUGUUUCAUUUGUUUCAGACACCAAAAAGACAAAGACCCUUUGAAAGCCUCUUGCCAAAAACAUCUUCUCAACUACUCUGACAACUCAGUAUCGGAGAAUUCGAAAAGCCUAUUUGAAGAUUGGCUCAAUGGGAAGUAAAGGGAUCCUCAUACACGUAUAGCAUUUGAAUCCCAGAAAUGAAUUGUUUUUACUACUUCAAGGACAAGGCCAAGAGCAAGCUACAAAGGUCAGCUCCAGAGCUGAAAGAGGAGACCAAAUCUGAGUAUUCAGGAGCUGAUAGUAGGAUUAUCAAGUCUUCUUGCUCAGCUAAUUCGCCACGUGGGAUACCGGAACUGUACGAAGAAAAGGCACAUAACUUGAGAGUGUUCACCUUCUCUGAGCUCAGAGUUGCCACACAUGAUUUCAGCAGGCUUCUUAAGAUAGGCGAAGGUGGAUUUGGCAGUGUUUUUAAGGGUUCAAUCAAGCCUGCUGAUGGGAAAGGUGACCAAAUCGUGGUUGCCAUUAAGAAGCUCAACAAAGAUGGCUCACAGGGUCACAAACAAUGGCUAGCAGAGGUUCAAUUUCUGGGUGUUGUAGACCAUCCAAAUCUUGUCAAACUUAUAGGAUACUGUGCUGUGGAUGGGGAAAGAGGGAUCCAAAGGCUACUUGUUUAUGAAUACAUGCAAAAGAGAAGCUUAGAAGAUCAUCUUUUCAACAAGGCUUAUCCAACUCUUCCAUGGAAAACACGACUAGACAUUGUACUUGGAGCGGCUCAAGGAUUGGCUUACUUACAUGAAGGAUUGGAAGUUCAGGUGAUAUUUCGAGAUUUUAAAGCCUCGAAUGUGUUAUUGGAUGAGGAUUUCAAAGCAAAGCUGUCGGAUUUUGGACUGGCUCGGGAAGGGCCAAUGGCUGGCCAUACUCAUGUGUCAACUGCAGUCAUGGGAACAUAUGGAUAUGCUGCACCGGAUUACGUUGAAACAGGUCAUCUCACAGCUAAGAGUGAUGUGUGGACUUUUGGUGUGGUGCUGUACGAGAUUCUUUCUGGCAGGCGGUCAGUGGAGAGGAACCGACCCAGAACAGAACAGAAACUUUUGGAAUGGGUGAAGCAGUUUCCUCCAGAAAGCAAAAAAUUUGGACAGAUAAUGGAUCCUAGACUUGAAAACCAAUAUUCUUCAAGUGCAGCCAGAAGAAUGGCCAAGUUAGCUGAUAGUUGUCUAUCGAAGAGCGCAAAAGAUCGGCCAAAGAUGAGCCAAGUGGUGGAGACAUUAAAGCUGAUUAUGCAAAUCUCAGAGAAUGGGAAUUCUUCAAGUCUCGAGUCCUCUGACAGUAACAAGACUGACUUGGAACCAAAGCCGAUUCAGUUAGGCCCGGCAGAGUCAUGGAAAAGACGAAUGUCACACUUGGAAAAACUAGGCGAGCAAGUUGAUGGUGGUAGUAGAAGAAGGUUCAUGAUCAUGCAUAGAGCCAAAGUGAAUUGAUGGCACUGCCAACCAACAAUGCCAUUGCAUUUUGAUGCAUUCAAAAGCUAUACUCAAGUGGCUAAAACUUUGGAGAUGGAGGGUAAAAUGCUAUGCGAUAGAGCUGAAAUUGAUUGGUGGUGUUUUCUAUGGAGGUGAAGCACCAGGUUUGUGAAAUGGUAAUCUUAUCAGAAAAAUACUAAUAUGUCCUCUAUUUAUAUCAGCCGUUUCUGUGAUAUAUACUAUAUAGAGUUGUGAGGAGAGUUGAUUAAUUAUGGGUGCUUCUUCUGAUGAAGGUUUGACCAAAGAGAGAUUGUGGACUUUGAAUCACAAGUUUUGCCAAGUUGUUGACCACUUUCUUUCACUUGUUUCAUUAAUCUUCCAUUACUAAUGAGGUCCAAUCUCACCCAUCAAAAGAAAAACAGGUGCUUUAUUUGAUGAAUAAGGUGGCAAGAGGCACUACAUGUGGAUAUUGGAAAAGAAGUUUUCUGUUUUUAUAUUGAGAAAAGAAUAUCCAUUCAUUGAAAGAGAUCAAACAUUCGAUAAGAUUUAUAAUAAGUUUUUCUAAGCAGUUUUGUUAGAAAUAUGACUUCAAGAAACCAAUACAAUUUCACCGAGAUCACAACGCACUCACCGGGUGUUUGGGUUUGUGAAACUAAACUAGUGUUUAUUAUGAUUUUUAGUGAAAAGUUUAUGUUUGUGUCUA